Molecule: transfer RNA, 72 nt
Filed under: Camelus dromedarius (Arabian camel)
Lineage: Eukaryota; Metazoa; Chordata; Mammalia; Artiodactyla; Camelidae
Also listed under: 1 other name
Rfam family: tRNA
About the family: Transfer RNA (tRNA) molecules are approximately 80 nucleotides in length. Their secondary structure includes four short double-helical elements and three loops (D, anti-codon, and T loops).
Source: Rfam by way of RNAcentral
GAGGGUAUAGCUUAGUGGUAAAGCGCAUGCUUAGCAUGCACCAGGUCCUAGGUUCGAUCGCCAGUACCUCCA